RNAcentral lists this microRNA precursor (70 nucleotides) under Chinchilla lanigera (long-tailed chinchilla). Its description in RNAcentral is "microRNA 30a (ENSCLAG00000021054.1)". It matches the Rfam family "mir-30 microRNA precursor family". From Rfam's summary of the family: This family consists of the mammalian microRNA (miRNA) precursor mir-30a. Animal miRNAs are transcribed as ~70nt precursors and subsequently processed by the Dicer enzyme to give a ~22nt product. In this case the mature sequence comes from both the 3' (miR-30) and 5' (mir-97-6) arms of the precursor. The record is from RNAcentral. Lineage: Eukaryota; Metazoa; Chordata; Mammalia; Rodentia; Chinchillidae.
GCGACUGUAAACAUCCUCGACUGGAAGCUAGGAGGCCGGAAUGGGCUUUCAGUCGGAUGUUUGCAGCUGC